Molecule: ribosomal RNA, 497 nt
Filed under: uncultured bacterium
Lineage: Bacteria
Description: partial 16S ribosomal RNA
Rfam family: Bacterial small subunit ribosomal RNA
Source: RNAcentral
GAUGAACGCUGGCGGCGUGCCUAAUACAUGCAAGUCGAGCGAACAGACGAGGAGCUUGCUCCUCUGACGUUAGCGGCGGACGGGUGAGUAACACGUGGAUAACCUACCUAUAAGACUGGGAUAACUUCGGGAAACCGGAGCUAAUACCGGAUAAUAUAUUGAACCGCAUGGUUCAAUAGUGAAAGACGGUUUUGCUGUCACUUAUCGGUGGAUCCGCGCCGCAUUAGCUAGUUGGUAAGGUAACGGCUUACCAAGGCAACGAUGCGUAGCCGACCUGAGAGGGUGAUCGGCCACACUGGAACUGAGACACGGUCCAGACUCCUACGGGAGGCAGCAGUAGGGAAUCUUCCGCAAUGGGCGAAAGCCUGACGGAGCAACGCCGCGUGAGUGAUGAAGGUCUUCGGAUCGUAAAACUCUGUUAUUAGGGAAGAACAAAUGUGUAAGUAACUAUGCACGUCUUGACGGUACCUAAUCAGAAAGCCACGGCUAACUACGUG